UACGUAGGGUGCGAGCGUUGUCCGGAAUUAUUGGGCGUAAAGGGCUCGUAGGCGGUCUGUCGCGUCGGGAGUGAAAACUCAGGGCUUAACCCUGAGCCUGCUUCCGAUACGGGCAGACUAGAGGUAUGCAGGGGAGAACGGAAUUCCUGGUGUAGCGGUGAAAUGCGCAGAUAUCAGGAGGGACACCGGUGGCGAAGGCGGUUCUCUGGGCAUUACCUGACGCUGAGGAGCGAAAGUGUGGGGAGCGAACAGG
This 253-nucleotide ribosomal RNA is filed under the name uncultured bacterium. RNAcentral's name for it is "partial 16S ribosomal RNA". It matches the Rfam family "Bacterial small subunit ribosomal RNA", at positions 524 to 776 of the family's 1533-position model. The record is from RNAcentral.